Molecule: non-coding RNA, 73 nt
Organism: Ictidomys tridecemlineatus (thirteen-lined ground squirrel)
Lineage: Eukaryota; Metazoa; Chordata; Mammalia; Rodentia; Sciuridae
Source: Rfam
GGGCAUAUAGCUCAGUUGGUAGAGUGCUUGCCUUGCAUGAACAAAGCCUUGGGUUCAAUCCCUAGCAUCCCCC